RNAcentral lists this small RNA (2967 nucleotides) under Pongo abelii (Sumatran orangutan). Its description in RNAcentral is "processed transcript". The record is from RNAcentral. Lineage: Eukaryota; Metazoa; Chordata; Mammalia; Primates; Hominidae.
UUUGUGCUGCCCGAGUGCCUUCCCCCUGGGGUCAAGGGGUAUAGGGGGGCAGAAAGAGAGGCAGACACACCUCUAAAGGUCAGAAGGAAGUCUGGGCCUCUGUGGGGUCUCCCUCGGUCUAGAGCCCUCCUUGGGGCUUCUUCAGAGUGGCCUCUGUUGCGCCCACUUUGUAGAAUUGAGGCAAUUCUUAUUAAAUAACUCCUUGGUCGGGCUCUCUCUCAGGCCCCGGGUCCUAUGCGCAGGCCCCCUUCUCCCACUCAGGACAGCAGCACCCAUCCCUGGCCAAGUCAUCAGGAGCCCAACCUGCGCCUGGAGCUGUGCCCAUGAGCCUCUCACUCUACAUCCUCUCUCUCUGUGCCUCUGAUCCCCUCAGGCCUUCAUCCUGAACAAUAUUAGGCCCUGUCCCUUCCUUCCCAUCAGAAACUUAGAGGGCCUGGGGCUUGCCCCUCUAGUCUCUCUGCAGGGCCUGGCCUGGGAGGGCUCUUGGGUGUUCAGAGGAGGUCCCCAGCAGCUGCCUUCUCUUCUCUCCUUCAGAUGAACAGGCCGAUCCAGGUCAAGCCAGCCGACAGCGAGAGCCGAGGAGAAGACCGGAAGCUCUUUGUGGGGAUGCUAGGGAAGCAGCAGACAGAUGAGGACGUCCGCAAGAUGUUUGAGCCCUUCGGGACCAUCGACGAGUGCACUGUGCUCCGGGGGCCAGAUGGCACCAGCAAAGGCUGCGCCUUCGUGAAGUUCCAGACCCAUGCCGAGGCCCAGGCGGCCAUCAACACCCUUCACAGCAGCCGGACCCUGCCAGGUGCCUCGUCCAGCCUGGUGGUGAAGUUUGCUGACACCGAGAAGGAGCGAGGUCUUCGCCGCAUGCAGCAGGUGGCCACCCAGCUGGGCAUGUUCAGCCCCAUCGCCCUCCAGUUUGGAGCCUACAGCGCCUACACCCAGGCCCUGAUGCAGCAGCAGGCGGCCCUGGUAGCGGCUCACAGUGCCUACCUCAGCCCCAUGGCCACCAUGGCUGCCGUGCAGAUGCAGCACAUGGCUGCCAUCAAUGCCAAUGGCCUCAUCGCCACCCCCAUCACCCCAUCCUCAGGUAUGGCCUGGGCAAGGCCGGGCAAGGGAACUAAGCAUGGUAGGGGUAGGCAGGGGCACAGGGCAUCGCUCAGGGAAGCCUCGGGGUCUGGGAGGGACUCAGGAGUCAGAGAGGCCUGCUUCCUCCCCUCUGCCCACAGACUUGCUGACUGGUUCUCUGCCUGUGUGUGUGUCUGCUCCUCUGCUCUCUCCCUGUCGCUUUCUCCUCCCCAGGAACCAGCACCCCUCCUGCCAUCGCUGCCACGCCUGUCUCUGCCAUUCCGGCUGCCCUGGGCGUCAACGGCUACAGCCCGGUGCCCACCCAGCCCACUGGGCAGCCUGCCCCUGAUGCUCUGUAUCCCAACGGGGUUCACCCCUACCCAGCCCAGAGCCCUGCGGCCCCCGUGGACCCCCUGCAGCAGGCCUACGCGGGGAUGCAGCACUACACAGCAGCCUACCCAGCAGCCUACAGCCUGGUUGCACCUGCGUUCCCGCAGCCUCCAGCCCUGGUCGCCCAGCAGCCCCCACCACCGCCUCAACAGCAGCAGCAGCAGCAGCAGCAGCAGCAACAGCAGCAGCAAAGAGAAGGCCCUGAUGGCUGCAACAUCUUCAUCUACCACCUGCCCCAGGAGUUCACUGACUCAGAGAUCCUCCAGAUGUUUGUCCCCUUUGGCCAUGUCAUCUCAGCCAAAGUCUUUGUUGACCGGGCCACCAAUCAAAGCAAAUGUUUUGGCUUUGUGAGUUUCGACAAUCCGGCCAGUGCCCAGGCUGCCAUCCAGGCCAUGAAUGGCUUCCAGAUCGGCAUGAAGCGCCUCAAAGUCCAGCUAAAGCGGCCUAAGGAUGCCAACCGGCCCUACUGAGGGUCCCCAGGUCUGGAGAUCCCAGAGGAAGGGGCGCCUCACACCCUCUUCCGACUGGCCCUGGCCCUCUCUGCACACCUGCCCUGGGCCUUGACUGGGUUCUGGGGCAAACGCUGCUUCGUGGCCCCAGGGGGCACAAGACACCGGCCCCUCCCACCCCCCUGCCUCUCUGAAGGGCCGUGGCUACGCUUCCCUGGAUCCAAGGGCCCAUUUCCUCCUAGAUGCCCUUUUGGCCUUUGUGAGGGAGCGAGGAACAGGCUCGAAGGUUCCGGGGUAUCUGCCUUCUGCUGGGCUCCUGUGACAGGCCUUCUGUGCCCAGCGUUUGUACUUGCCUCCCCCACCAGUGGGCCUGUUCUACCCGUGCAGGCCCCAGGAGAGCCGCAGGGGCCUGCCACACACUCCCAGCGCACCCUCACCCCAGCCUCUUCCCCACAUUAGGGGUUUCUUGGAAGCUGGCUCUCACUCCCCUCCACCCUCAGCUAGAGGUAGGAUAUCCCUGACUCCUGGGCUCCCAGCCCUAAAACUCACUGCCUCCCCCAAGGGCCCCCUCUAAGGAGGGUGUGGGGGAGCCCUGAGGGCUGCCUCUCUGCCAGUCAGCCACAGAGACCCUCCUCCUUUCACGAGGAAAAGACCUUCCCCUGAACCCCUAAAAAUGUUUACAGUCUCUGCUGGUUCCCUCCGUGUAAAUACCACUACCACCCGUGCGUUAUCCAGCCCGCCCGGCCUGGCCCGGACGCUGCCAUCUCUCUUUCUGGGAGUUUAGACAAUGUUGCCCUUGGAUUUUUUUCUCUCUCUUAAUUUCUCCCUUUGCUUUGGGGGGUAAUUGGGUAUUGGGAGGAGGGGUGUGGGGAGGGGUCAAGGGGUUUAUUACCUGAUCAUUUUCUUUAGGAAGAGGUUUUAGGGAAAAGAAAAUGGGGUGGGGGUGGGAGUGGUAAGGGGAGACCGGGGAGUCAGUUUCAGACAGUUCUCUAUGCUUAACUUAUUUAUUUAUUGCAUUUUACUUUUAAAGAGUUGGUCUUUUCUGUCUAAAUAAAGAAAAAAGUUUAAAAGC